RNAcentral lists this non-coding RNA (24 nucleotides) under Cricetulus griseus (Chinese hamster). The record is from RNAcentral. Lineage: Eukaryota; Metazoa; Chordata; Mammalia; Rodentia; Cricetidae.
CCAUUGUGGGGGUAGGUAUGCAGC